UCUAUUCUUGUGACUAUGUUGGAAUUGAGGUUUUCCUAAGGAAACCUUAUGUGGAAUUGAGGAUUUCCUAAGGAAACCUUAUGUUUUCGAAAUUUAUCGUAUUAGAUACCUCACCUGUAGAGUAGUAGCAGAGUAGACUUUUAGGCUUAAAAUUGCUUCUGCACUACUUAGUUUCCACUUGACCAAUUUUAAGUCUCUAUUGACUUAAAUAUAUAGAUAAAAGAAAGGAAAUACUUGUUGCUGGAGAGCAUUUACUGAAUCUCUGAGUGAUUUCUUGGUUUGGCGCCAAAGCCACCCUGGGCCUAAAUCAUAAAGGGCCUGUCGCAUAUGGGCCCAGAAUGGAAGUAAAGACCUGCCUUAUUUUAAAUACAUACCUAGUGGCAGAAGGGAUGGCAGAGGAUUAAGGAAUGUAGUUAAUAACAACUAUACAUAUACUUAUCAAUAAGUUUAUAUAGAUUUACUUUGCUGAAUCUGUAUAAAUAAUAACUUAUUGAGAGGUGCAUGUAUAUAUUUAUUAAGUUGAUAUUUGUAUAUAAUCUUAUUGUAUAUUAGUUUUUGUAUAUAGUUGAGUUUGAUUUUUGUAUGAAAAAUUUGUGUUUUUUAUAUAAAUACAAUUUAUUAUUACAAAAAAAUAUUUGACUUUUGAGUUUUAACCCACCCUACCCAAGGUGUGAGGGGUGUAGAGUUUCUGAAUAAUACCCUCUUGCACCCUUUUCACACAUUUAUUCCUUAAUCCUUUUUUUCUUUUGAAUCAAAAGAAUUUAGCAUCAAAAGUUUUAAUGUUAAGUUGCAUGCAUUUAGAUAUGAAGGUACAAAGUAAUAAUCUUGAUAUUGGGUCAGAUGGUGCGCCCUUAGCCAAAAGGACUUCUAGCUUAUCAACUUAAAGUAUCCAAAUCAUAUUUGAUGUUACCCUGUUAGAAUAUAUUUAAAAAUAAAUAAAUAAAUAUUAUAAAUUUUGAUUAAAUAAUAUUUUCUUUUAAAAAAUCUACAUUUUUCAAUAAAAUAAAGGAUUUUGUAGACACCCCUCAGCACUCUUUGUACAUCCUUUGUAUAAACAUAUUGCCCUUUGUUAAACCUAUCUUUUGAUACCAAGUUGUAUUUAUUUCGAUAAGAAUUGACCGAGACAUUUUAAGUUAAAAAAUAUUUUAUCUUAAUACUUAAUAUUUGAUUGCUGUUUCUUCAUGAAAUCCAUAUAUCUAAAAUUUGGUUCUCAAGAUGCCAUGACUUUUUCUAGGGUUGUUU
Long non-coding RNA from Hydra vulgaris (swiftwater hydra), 1242 nucleotides. RefSeq lists it as uncharacterized. Lineage: Eukaryota; Metazoa; Cnidaria; Hydrozoa; Anthoathecata; Hydridae. The record is from RefSeq and is a predicted model, not a curated record.